UUCUAGGUUGACCUCGGAUCACGUAGGGAUACCCGCUGAACUUAAGCAUAUCAAUAAGCGGAGGA
Molecule: ribosomal RNA, 65 nt
Filed under: Aureobasidium pullulans
Lineage: Eukaryota; Fungi; Ascomycota; Dothideomycetes; Dothideales; Saccotheciaceae
Description: partial 26S ribosomal RNA
Rfam family: Eukaryotic large subunit ribosomal RNA (bases 9-65)
Source: RNAcentral